RNAcentral lists this unclassified non-coding RNA (253 nucleotides) under Chaetothyriales sp. Its description in RNAcentral is "partial contains small subunit ribosomal RNA, internal transcribed spacer 1, and 5.8S ribosomal RNA". The stretch from base 1 to 46 matches the Rfam family "Eukaryotic small subunit ribosomal RNA", at positions 1786 to 1831 of the family's 1831-position model. The record is from RNAcentral. Lineage: Eukaryota; Fungi; Ascomycota; Eurotiomycetes; Chaetothyriales.
AAGUCGUAACAAGGUUUCCGUAGGUGAACCUGCGGAAGGAUCAUUACCGAGUUAGGGUCUUCCAGGCCCGACCUCCAACCCUGUGUCUAAAUUACCAUGUUGCUUUGGCGGGCCCGCCUCUAGGGGUCGCUGGGGGCCUUACCGCCUCUGGCCAGCGCCCGUCAGUAGCCUUCUUAAAAAUUCUUUAAUAACUGUGUUGUCUGAGUAUAAAUUAAAAUCGUUAAAACUUUCAACAACGGAUCUCUUGGUUCUG